This is a long non-coding RNA of Oryzias latipes (Japanese medaka), 2340 nucleotides long. RefSeq lists it as uncharacterized. The record is from RefSeq and is a predicted model, not a curated record. NCBI's taxonomy places the organism in Eukaryota, Metazoa, Chordata, Actinopteri, Beloniformes, Adrianichthyidae.
AAAUGAACAAGAAUGUAUGUUGGGUUAAUGAUGCUAGGUUUAGUUAAACACAAACACACGCAUGUACUGGCACACAUGCAUACACGCACAAGUGCAUAUACGCACACUUAUAUGUUGGUGGGUAUAAAACAUUUAACACAUUGAUGUCUGAACUAAAUAAAGGACAUUUGGGAUCAUAUUUGGAUCACCUUAAAGUGAACAAACAAUAGAUUGUACAUUUGAAACAAACAAAUAAAAUACACAAAUAAAAAUAAUCAAAUUAAUAAAUCAACUUUAGGGCGGUACAGAUUUAUGGGGUUCAGUUUGAGUUACUUUAUCUAUGUCUUUAAAAAUCACCCUUCAUGCAGCCUUACAAGCUGAAAAUAUUUUCUGUUUUCUUGAUUUUAGUCUGCAUCAUAUUGAACAAACAGAAGCCUGGAGUAACCCGAUUUGAAUUUUAAACUGUAUCACAGCCUCACUUGACACAGAUUUCUGAUUGGUUGAUCACAGUGGGAGGGAAAACUCAGUGGGUGACGUCACCAACGGGCCGGAAUCUGCAAGCGGGAGAAGUGCAGAGAACGAGAGACUUUUGACGAGCGCUAGUCGUAUUUUUUCUGCGUUUUAACAAUCCGUGGGAUGAAUCUCCAAAAAUUUUUUUGCUUGUCUGGAAAAGAUUCAAGUAAAAUCUUUGAAGUUUGCACGGUGAUCUAAAUUCUACACGUGAAAAUGAGUGAAUCAGAACCCAUGUUCCUCCACACUGCCAUUAUGGAGGUCCUACCAGAGCCACAAAAAACAUCCUGGAAGAACACUUGCAGUCCAUUGGAAUAAAUGGAGUUGUAUGAGGAUCUACGAUUCAUAGAAGAGGCUGACUUGCUGCCAGCUUUGAGACCUGUUCAAGCCCGGAAACGUCUUGCUCUCUGGAAAUUGAAAUACCAAACGCCAGAGAACAGCACAUCGUCAUCUGUUGAGACCUCACCAGCACAAUCAUCGUCACUUUUGUUAUAGUCACCAAGGAGUUCGUCAUCCACAUCUUCCAGAAGCCGAGGACUGUACGUACAUUGACUGGGAGGACAGCUUUGAAAUUCCAUGGAAAAUGAUGAAAGCAAGACGUUUUUCCAGACUCUAAAAGGCUGCAGAUGAUGCAAUGAGAGCAGAGUGUCUGCUCAGAAGAGAUGAGAUGUUAAAGAGAUGCUCUUUCUUUUGCUCUGCUACUUUGAGGAGGAUGCCAUGUUCUUGUAGAAGAUGCAGACGAGGUCCAGAUGCAGCAGGUGCCGUUGACUCCAACUGCUAUUUAUGUGGACAGUCUUGCUUUUCCCCAAGGAGGUUCAUGCUGAGUUGGAACCGCUCCAUCGUACACAACAACAUUGCAGCACUGUGCCUGAUGUUCGGAAGCUACUUCUGCUUUAUCAGUCAUUAUCCAACUGAGCUGGCUUCAACCCUGGAGUUUCUGCAAAGCUGAUGUCCUGUGAUGUGCCACUCUACCUGGUUGGGAACAAAUUGAAGAGGCCAAGCUCAAGAAAGCCUUUGUCAGCAAAUGUAGGGCAGAACCGGUUCUAAGGCUACUGCCAUGAUCUACAGUAUGCGGACUGGUUUCUUUUCCAUCUUUUUUCUUAUUUUUAAUCUUAAUUUGGUUCUCAAAUUGGUUCAUGGAUUUGAUAGUCUGCAAGUUUCAGAGAAUGUUUUUAUGUUUAUGUUUUUCUAAUGUUUUUUUUCAGUGUGUUGUUUAAAAUCUGGAAGUAUUCAUGACCAGCGUGUCAACCAGAUUGAGUACGCCACGGUUCAUGUACUUAAUGCAUUUAAUAUUUUAAAAAGUGUCUAAUACUGCUACCACAAUUAAAAUGCUGUACUGAUGAUGGUGCUGCCCAAAUAAAGUGUAAAGCAUUUACAUUUCUAGUAUUGUUUUUACUGUUACUGUAUAUCAGUGGUCUCCCAUCCUGGUCCUUGAAGGUCACUGUUCUGGAUGUUUUAGCUGUUUUCCUGCUCCAACAGAUCUGCUGCAGUGGUUGAAUUGCCUCCUCAAGUUCUGCAGGAGGUGGUUAAUCACCUGUUGAUUCACAUCUGGGGAGCAAAGAAACAUCUAAACCCUACUGGAUGGUGGCCCUUGAGGACCAGGAUUGGCGACCACUGCUAUAAAACUAAAUUCUCUUUUCUUUCUCAAAUACAUCUCAAAUAUCAUUCUCAUUAACGGCUUUGGUAAGACAUUCAAGAGAAAUGAUUAAGACAUGAAAGAGACAUCAGACAGACAACGAUGAGAUCUCUUUUAGGACUCAUUCUUCUCAGAUUUGUCUCAUGAGCGUCUUAGGUUCGUCUCUCCCACUUCUUAAUUAUUGCUCUAACAGUUGUCUCAACUCAACCUCAUUU